AGAGUUUGAUCCUGGCUCAGAUUGAACGCUGGCGGAAUGCUUUACACAUGCAAGUCGAGCGGCAGCGCGGGGGCAACCCUGGCGGCGAGCGGCGAACGGGUGAGUAAUGUAUCGGAACGUACCCAGUCGUGGGGGAUAACUAUCCGAAAGGAUAGCUAAUACCGCAUACGUCCUGAGGGAGAAAGCGGGGGACCGUAAGGCCUCGCGCGAUUGGAGCGGCCGAUAUCGGAUUAGCUAGUUGGUGAGGUAAAGGCUCACCAAGGCGACGAUCCGUAGCUGGUCUGAGAGGACGACCAGCCACACUGGAACUGAGACACGGUCCAGACUCCUACGGGAGGCAGCAGUGGGGAAUUUUGGACAAUGGGGGCAACCCUGAUCCAGCCAUUCCGCGUGAGUGAAGAAGGCCUUCGGG
This 412-nucleotide ribosomal RNA is filed under the name uncultured bacterium. RNAcentral's name for it is "bacterial SSU rRNA". It matches the Rfam family "Bacterial small subunit ribosomal RNA", at positions 8 to 422 of the family's 1533-position model. The record is from RNAcentral.